This 253-nucleotide ribosomal RNA is filed under the name uncultured bacterium. RNAcentral's name for it is "partial 16S ribosomal RNA". It matches the Rfam family "Bacterial small subunit ribosomal RNA", at positions 524 to 776 of the family's 1533-position model. The record is from RNAcentral.
UACGAAGGGGGUUAGCGUUGCUCGGAAUCACUGGGCGUAAAGGGUGCGUAGGCGGGUCUUUAAGUCAGGGGUGGAAUCCUGGAGCUCAACUCCAGAACUGCCUUUGAUACUGAAGAUCUUGAGUUCGGGAGAGGUGAGUGGAACUGCGAGUGUAGAGGUGAAAUUCGUAGAUAUUCGCAAGAACACCAGUGGCGAAGGCGGCUCACUGGCCCGAUACUGACGCUGAGGCACGAAAGCGUGGGGAGCAAACAGG